This 75-nucleotide transfer RNA is filed under the name Buchnera aphidicola. RNAcentral describes it as "tRNA-Thr". RNAcentral also lists the same sequence under 3 other names. Lineage: Bacteria; Pseudomonadati; Pseudomonadota; Gammaproteobacteria; Enterobacterales; Erwiniaceae. The record is from RNAcentral.
GCUGAUAUAGCUCAGAUUAGGUAGAGCACACUCUUGGUAAGAGUGAGGUCCCCAGUUCAAAACUGGGUAUCAGCA